RNAcentral lists this unclassified non-coding RNA (446 nucleotides) under Hevea brasiliensis (rubber tree). Lineage: Eukaryota; Viridiplantae; Streptophyta; Magnoliopsida; Malpighiales; Euphorbiaceae. The record is from RNAcentral.
UGUUGCAGAAUACAUCAAGACCUGGGGUUGAGAAAGAGCCCUAAAAAUCUGCAAAACCUGAUCUCAGAACCCCCUUUGAAGCAUACAGUCAACCAAUCUAGAACAAAUAUCUGGUUCAACAUCAUGCUUUGUUACUAGAUCAAUGAGCCUGCCUGGAGUCCCUACAAUCAACUCCACUCCUUGUUGAAUGUGGUAGAGUUGUCCAGCCAUAUUAUCACCACCAACCACAACCGUCACCAAGCAACUCAGCUUGAUCCUCAACCUGUAUACAAAGCUCUCUAGUAGGAGUUAAAACCAUUGCUAAUGACUCUCUAUACUCAGGAGAGUGCUAAGGCGAAAACUUGCACAAUGAGUACCAGAUGGGAAGCAGUUUCCCUGAGCCUGUGCCAGCUGAAGCAAGCAGGCUUUUGCCACUCAAAGCAAUUGGGAUUGCUUGCAUCUGGACA